This 492-nucleotide ribosomal RNA is filed under the name uncultured bacterium. RNAcentral describes it as "partial 16S ribosomal RNA". It matches the Rfam family "Bacterial small subunit ribosomal RNA", at positions 29 to 507 of the family's 1533-position model. The record is from RNAcentral.
AGUGAACGCUGGCGGUAGGCCUAACACAUGCAAGUCGAACGGCAGCACAGUAAGAGCUUGCUCUUAGGGGUGGCGAGUGGCGGACGGGUGAGGAAUACAUCGGAAUCUACUUUUUCGUGGGGGAUAACGUAGGGAAACUUACGCUAAUACCGCAUACGACCUACGGGUGAAGGCAGGGGAUCUUCGAACCUUGCGCGAUUGAAUGAGCCGAUGUCGGAUUAGUUAGUUGGCGGGGUAAAUGAGCACCAAGGCGACGAUCCGUAGCUGGUCUGAGAGGAACAUCCGCCACAUGGUAUCUGAGACACGUCCCAGACUCUUACGGGAGGCAGCAGUGGGGAAUCUUGCACGAGGGGCCAGUGCCUGAUCUAGCCCAACCGGGUGGGGGCAGAAGCACCUCUGCUGCGAAAGCCCUGUUGUUGUGAAAGAAAAGCAGCAGUUUCACCGCCCGCUGUUCUGACGGUACCCAAAGAAUAAGCCCCGGCUAACUUCGUG